This 21-nucleotide non-coding RNA is filed under the name Caenorhabditis elegans. The record is from RNAcentral. Lineage: Eukaryota; Metazoa; Nematoda; Chromadorea; Rhabditida; Rhabditidae.
UACGUUCAGAUAAGUAGUUCC